This 666-nucleotide small RNA is filed under the name Pongo abelii (Sumatran orangutan). Its description in RNAcentral is "retained intron". Lineage: Eukaryota; Metazoa; Chordata; Mammalia; Primates; Hominidae. The record is from RNAcentral.
UUGAACUGAAUGAGCCUCCACUGGUCCACACAGCAGCCAGCCUCUUUAAGGAGAUGUGUUACCGAUACCGGGAAGACCUGAUGGCGGGAAUCAUCAUCGCAGGCUGGGACCCUCAAGAAGGAGGGCAGGUCAGAUCCCCACCCGACCAGAGCACACUUGAGCCAGGCCUUUUAUCCUCUCCCCAGCCAUUUUCUUUUUCUUUCCAGUCUCUACCUCACUUAUUCUUACUAUUCACGUGCCUCAGACCAAUAGCAGAAUGGACAGGUGAAUGUACAUGUGUUGGAGGGAGGAUACGACUGGUGACUCUUCUCCUUCUAUCUGGCAGGUGUACUCAGUGCCUAUGGGGGGUAUGAUGGUAAGGCAGUCCUUUGCCAUUGGAGGCUCCGGGAGCUCCUACAUUUAUGGCUAUGUUGAUGCUACCUACCGGGAAGGCAUGACAAAGGAAGAGUGUCUGCAAUUCACUGCCAAUGCUCUCGCUUUGGCCAUGGAGCGGGAUGGCUCCAGUGGAGGAGUGAUCCGCCUGGCAGCCAUUGCAGAGUCAGGGGUAGAGCGGCAAGUACUUUUGGGAGACCAGAUACCCAAAUUCGCCAUUGCCACUUUACCACCCCCCUGAGUCCUGGGAUUCUAGUAUGCAAUAAGAGAUACCCCGUACUGAUGCAAAAUUUA